This 660-nucleotide ribosomal RNA is filed under the name uncultured bacterium. Its description in RNAcentral is "bacterial SSU rRNA". It matches the Rfam family "Bacterial small subunit ribosomal RNA", at positions 202 to 849 of the family's 1533-position model. The record is from RNAcentral.
GAAAGGCGCUUUUGCGUCACUGAUGGAUGGACCCGCGGUGCAUUAGCUAGUUGGUGAGGUAACGGCUCACCAAGGCAACGAUGCAUAGCCGACCUGAGAGGGUGAUCGGCCACAUUGGGACUGAGACACGGCCCAAACUCCUACGGGAGGCAGCAGUAGGGAAUCUUCGGCAAUGGACGAAAGUCUGACCGAGCAACGCCGCGUGAGUGAAGAAGGUUUUCGGAUCGUAAAACUCUGUUGUUAGAGAAGAACAAGGAUGAGAGUAGAAUGUUCAUCCCUUGACGGUAUCUAACCAGAAAGCCACGGCUAACUACGUGCCAGCAGCCGCGGUAAUACGUAGGUGGCAAGCGUUGUCCGGAUUUAUUGGGCGUAAAGCGAGCGCAGGCGGUUUCUUAAGUCUGAUGUGAAAGCCCCCGGCUCAACCGGGGAGGGUCAUUGGAAACUGGGAAACUUGAGUGCAGAAGAGGAGAGUGGAAUUCCAUGUGUAGCGGUGAAAUGCGUAGAUAUAUGGAGGAACACCAGUGGCGAAGGCGGCUCUCUGGUCUGUAACUGACGCUGAGGCUCGAAAGCGUGGGGAGCAAACAGGAUUAGAUACCCUGGUAGUCCACGCCGUAAACGAUGAGUGCUAAGUGUUGGAGGGUUUCCGCCCUUCAGUGCUGC